This 455-nucleotide ribosomal RNA is filed under the name uncultured organism. RNAcentral's name for it is "partial 16S ribosomal RNA". It matches the Rfam family "Bacterial small subunit ribosomal RNA", at positions 330 to 801 of the family's 1533-position model. The record is from RNAcentral.
CGUACACUCCUGCGGGAGGCAGCAGUGGGGAAUAUUGGACAAUGGGCGCAAGCCUGAUCCAGCCAUGCCGCGUGAGUGAUGAAGGCCCUAGGGUUGUAAAGCUCUUUCACCGGUGAAGAUAAUGACGGUAACCGGAGAAGAAGCCCCGGCUAACUUCGUGCCAGCAGCCGCGGUAAUACGAAGGGGGCUAGCGUUGUUCGGAUUUACUGGGCGUAAAGCGCACGUAGGCGGACUAUUAAGUCAGGGGUGAAAUCCCGGGGCUCAACCCCGGAACUGCCUUUGAUACUGGUAGUCUUGAGUUCGAGAGAGGUGAGUGGAAUUCCGAGUGUAGAGGUGAAAUUCGUAGAUAUUCGGAGGAACACCAGUGGCGAAGGCGGCUCACUGGCUCGAUACUGACGCUGAGGUGCGAAAGCGUGGGGAGCAAACAGGAUUAGAUACCCCAGUAGUCCCAUGAU